GCCGCUCCUGCCGUGCAUGUUGGGGAGCCAGUACAUGCAGGUGGGCUCCACACGGAGAGGGGCGCCGACCCCGUGAUAGGGCUUUACCUGGUACAUCGGGGUGGCGCGUGCCAGACACCAACGGUCGGAAACCGCCAGACACCAACGCUCGGAAUCCACGCCAGGCCACGACGGAGGGCGACUACCUCCCUUCUGACCCUGCUGCUGGCGUUCGGAAAAAACGCAGUCCGGUGUGCUCUGAUUGGUCCAGGCUCUUUGACGUCACGGACUCGACCUUUGACAGAGCCACUAGGCGAAAAGGAGAGACGGGAAGUAUUUUUUCCGCCCCGCCCGGAAAGGGUGGAGCACAACGUCGAAAGCAGCCGUUGGGAGCCCAGGAGGCGGGGCGCCUGUGGGAGCCGUGGAGGGAACUUUCCCAGUCCCCGAGGCGGAUCCGGUGUUGCAUCCUUGGAGCGAGCUGAGAGCUCGAGUACAGAACCUGCUAAGGCCAUCAAACCUAUUGAUCGGAAGUCAGUCCAUCAGAUUUGCUCUGGGCCGGUGGUACCGAGUCUAAGCACUGCGGUGAAGGAGUUAGUAGAAAACAGUCUGGAUGCUGGUGCCACUAAUAUUGAUCUAAAGCUUAAGGACUAUGGAGUGGAUCUCAUUGAAGUUUCAGGCAAUGGAUGUGGGGUAGAAGAAGAAAACUUCGAAGGCUUAACUCUGAAACAUCACACAUCUAAGAUUCAAGAGUUUGCCGACCUACCUCAGGUUGAAACUUUUGGCUUUCGGGGGGAAGCUCUGAGCUCACUUUGUGCACUGAGUGAUGUCACCAUUUCUACCUGCCAUGUAUCGGCGAAGGUUGGGACUCGACUGGUGUUUGAUCACUAUGGGAAAAUCAUCCAGAAAACCCCCUACCCCCACCCCAGAGGGAUGACAGUCAGUGUGAAGCAGUUAUUUUCUACGCUACCUGUGCACCAUAAAGAAUUUCAAAGGAAUAUUAAGAAGAAACGUGCCUGCUUCCCCUUCGCCUUCUGCCGUGAUUGUCAGUUUCCUGAGGCCUCCCCAGCCAUGCUUCCUGUACAGCCUGCAGAACUGACUCCUAGAAGUACCCCACCCCACCCCUGCUCCUUGGAGGACAACGUGAUCACUGUAUUCAGCUCUGUCAAGAAUGGUCCAGGUUCUUCUAGAUGAUCUGCACAAAUGGCUCCUCUCCUCCUUCCUGAUGUCUGCCAUUAGCACUGGAAUAAAGUUCCUGCUGAAAAUCCACAUCUCCCCUGGGUCCGGUGUUCUGGAAGUGAGAGAGACAAUGUCACACCUCAAGGAGACAGCUCUCUAGACAGGAAGGUUAUUCACGUCCCAUGUCAAGUCUAGCUAGAGUUCAGAGCAAUUGAGAAGUGCGAUUUUAUCUCCUGCCUUUCAUUCUAUACCCUGCUUCUGAACCAUCGUGUUCAACUGUGAAACUCACGCUUUGGUGACCCUGACUCCAAAACUUAAUACACCCAAGGUCAGCCCCAGUGAUCUGCUUCAUAGCGAGGACUUUGGGUGGGUCUUCCCAGGGAGUAGGGCACCCUCAGAGAAUGUGGCUUUGGACUUCAUCACAGCUAGGGUCUUUUGUGUCACUUCAGAUCUAAACUUGUAACUGUGCUAGAUCUGUUUCUAAUGUGACAACAUCACAAACCACGAGUCCAGAAGCCUAAUCCAUAAUCCUACCUCCUCAUGACGAAGUCUCAUGCUCUGUGCUCAACAUGGUUAGCUGCACAAGAUGUAAACCAAAGCUUCACUGAACCCUCGACCCAAAUCGGUAACUCAAGUGCAUCAAUCAUAAAGAACCUCCCCGAACUCAGUAUUUAUGAUUAUUUUUGAGGCAGGGUCUCACUCUGUCGCCCCGGCUGGAGUGCAGUGGCAGGAUCAGGGCUCCCUGCAGCCCCGACCUCCCAGGCUCCAGCGAUCCUCCUGCCUCAGCCUCUUGAGUAGUUGGGAGUAGAGAUGCCUCCCACAUCGCCUGGCUAAUUUUUGUAUUUUUGUGGAGAGGGGAUAUCUCGCCACGUUGCCGAGGCUUGAAGCCAGAUCAAGCAAUUGGGUUCCUUGGAUUUCCGAAAUAGACCCCAAUAUUCUGCCUUUACCCCGGAGGAUGCAGAUGUACCUUCUCUCAGGCCGAUGACCUCAGGCCUCCACGGUCCCUGGAGCUCUAGGAAAGGUGGGCGCGAUCUCGCGCCCACACCCAGUGCUCUGGGUCAUAAGCCUGGAUCUGGAAAAACAAAUGCGCUUUGAGAAGACGGGGACUCCCCAGGAUACCCCUCUCUCCCCUCGUCCAGCCUCCAGCCCACCCGAUUCCUCCCCACAUCCUCCACCUCCCCAGGCCCCACCCACCUCCUCCAACUCCUCCGGGGAAACCCAAGCCCUGCAGCGCAUGGAACAGAAGAACUGGAACCGACGCUUCUGGAACAAGGCUAUCUGAGAGCAGUUCUUCCUGGCCCUCGGGUUCAUGGGACGGCAUAACUGGAACCAAUGCUUAGGGCGCAAGGGUAUGUGAGAGUGGGUCUUCCCGUACAGGAAGUAGAAGAUCUUUUGUUUGGGGGCCUCGUCGUCCUCCUCCAUGUCAUUGGCCAGAUAGCUGAGGACAGAAAUCAGGUUGCUGCUCAGGGGCACCACCAGGAGAGACCUCCGGCUGAGGUCAGCUUCCCAGAGAGGAAGGUAAGGGACCGUCCCUAGCUCAGGACUGGCACCCACCCUGCAGAGAGCCACGCCUUCCUCAGGAGGGCUCUGCUGGACAGAGACCUGAUCAAGGGCAUCUCCCACUCCUUCAGGAUGGAGACAAAAACCCAACUGGUGACCAAGAGUGGUGGCUUAGGCCUGGAAUCCCAGCACACUGGGAGGCCGAAGCAGGAGGAUCACUUGAGGCCAGGAGUUUGAGACAGGCCUGGGCAACAUAGCAAGACCCUUGUCUCUAUUAAAAAUAUAAAAAAUACGCCAGACGUGGUGGCUCAUGCCUGUAAUCCCAGCACUUUGGAAGGCUGAAGCAGGUGGAUUGCUUGAGACCAGGAGUUUGAGACCAGCCUGGCCAACACAGAGAAACCCCAUUUAUGCUAAAAAUACAAAAAUCAGCCUGGUGCGGUGGCACACCCAUUAGUCCUAGCUACUCAAGAGGCUGAAGCAUAAGAAUUGUGUGAACCCAGGAGGCGGAGGUUGCAGUGAGCCAAGAUUGGGCCCCUCCAUUCCAGCCUGAGAGACACAGCAACACUCUUGUCUUGAUAAAUAAAUAAAUAAAUAAAUAAAUAAAUAAAUAAAUAA
This is a long non-coding RNA of Homo sapiens (human), 3270 nucleotides long. The record is from Ensembl. Lineage: Eukaryota; Metazoa; Chordata; Mammalia; Primates; Hominidae.